Molecule: long non-coding RNA, 815 nt
Organism: Amphimedon queenslandica
Lineage: Eukaryota; Metazoa; Porifera; Demospongiae; Haplosclerida; Niphatidae
Exons: 3
Source: RefSeq, a predicted model, not a curated record
UCAUUAAGUGUUAAUUAUUAUUAUUAUUACAGAGUUCCAGUACUCAUGAUGUCCCAGUCACUGGUGGAGUAACAGAUGAAGUGUUUGAUGACAGUGGAGUGAGUAGAUACAGUGGUAGCAGCACUGGAUGAGGAGGGAAUACUAGCUAGCAGCUGUCAUUCAAGAGAUGAGUCAACACCUUUCUGGCUAACACAGUAAUUGUAAAAGCUUCUUAAUUGUUGUUGCAUGGUAUGAUAUUUGCAUUCUGAGUCGUGAACAAAGGGACUGAGGGCGUGUGUGGUGUAGGGAAAGUAGCCAGGAAAGAAGUCUAGGCGUUAGGCAGACUAGGGGUUAGUAACCGACUGUGCUAAGACUCUGAGGUGUUGGGUGUGGCGUCCUCUCUUAAACUAAAUGUCACAUUAUUUAAUCUCUCUUCCCUUUUUCUUCCUCCUCUCUCUCCCUCUUAUAGCCUAAUUAGAAUAUUAUAGUCGGUGCUUCUGUUGAAGUCCCAGAGUGUCCUCCUCAACCGAACUGCACAAAAGGAAAGGCCAUGACUAGUGGGUGGGUCAUUGAACCUUAGCGCUAUGAAGAAAAAUUACUCACACAAGUCACUUAUUUUGUGCAGGUUGAUGUGGGAGGAGUACCAGCAACACUGGUUAAUAUUGUGUCAAGACAUCAGCCAUUAGCAGUUGCAUAUUUACAUGAUUAUUUAGAAAAAAACUAGUUUAAGUACAAAUAGAAAUGGAAGAGAGAGUAGACCCAGUUUAUUAUCAGGUACUGAUUCACCUAGUGAUCUAACUAUGAUGUAUAAAACAUAAUGUAUUAUAGUGUACACU